Molecule: long non-coding RNA, 1547 nt
Organism: Prosopis cineraria
Lineage: Eukaryota; Viridiplantae; Streptophyta; Magnoliopsida; Fabales; Fabaceae
Exons: 5
Source: RefSeq, a predicted model, not a curated record
AUAGUCCUGUAGGAUCUUUUUAGUUAAGAAAGGAUAAAGAUAGAAAAUGUAAGAAUCAGUGCACAGAGCCCUAGAAUAUUUAUUCAUUAUAUGACUGAAGUUACAGCCCUUAGGGAAACGUGUAAACUAUUAAAAUAAAUCAAAAAUAUGGAAAUGAUUAUUUACAUUAAAAUAAUAGGCUAUAGGUAAACCUAUUAGACUUGAGCUUUUGCAGUAUUGCUGUCUUAACAACCCCUCGCAAACUUGAGGGUGGGUGUUUUACGAGCCCAAAUUUGUUUCGUAGACCUAGGAACCGUGAGUGAGAUAAUGCUUUAGUGAAUAGGUUAGCAACUUGCUUAGACGAUGGCACAUAUUGAACCGACAUCUAGCAUGCUAGGACUCGAUCUCGGACAAAGUGGACGUCCAGCUUGAUGUGUUUUGUUCAAGCAUGGAAAACAGGGUUCGAAGCAAGAGCAGAGGCACUUCGAUUAUCAUACUAGGCUACAAGAACUUGAGAAAGCUUGAAUUCAAGCUUAGAAAAUAAAGAUUGAAGCCAGGUGAACUUGGUAGCUACAUUGGCCAAGGAGCAAUACUUUGAUUCAGUGCUUGACCGAGCCACAACCUUUUGUUUCUUCCCUGACCAUGCAAUGAAAGACUCAUCGAGGAAGAUGCAGUGACCUCUGAUCAAUCUCCGAUCAUCAGUGUAUGCGGCCUAAUCGGAGUCAGAGAAUCCUUGCAAGGUAUAGUAGAGGAUGGAGAUGAAUUAAGUAAUGAUACGAUAGCUGGACUCUCAGGAGAAUUUAGAAGAGGAGCAGGACCACCUGAAUCUUUUGCUGCAGUAAGUGAUUGAUCAGUGGAAGAAGGACAUGAAGUAGGCAAAGCUGAUAAAAAAGGUUUAAAGAAAACCUUUGGAUUAACUUCAACUUUAUUAGAUAAAUAGCUUCUGAUAGUGAGUCUAUUGAUACCCCUCCAUCAAUUUCAGCUACAAAUUCAACUAAGGUUUUUGAGUACACAGAAAAAUAUGGAGCAGGAGUAUAAUAACAUCAAGCAGGGCCUAACGAUAAUAUUCCAUCUCUUAGGAAGUCUCACAAGGCAAUCUUCCUGAGCAUGAGGAUAUCUUGGCUAGGGCAUUAGGGACUGUUGACCACCCUGGUCAUGUCACGGGUGUUGACUUCGAUAUCAUGAAGAAGCAAUAUUUUAGCAAGAUAUAGAAGCGAACAUCAACUUCUUUGUCUGAGGUCCAAGAGCUGAGAGAAAAGCAAGCCAUUAUGAAGCAGCAACUACUAGCCCAGGCAACAUUAUUUGACAUGUUGCUGAAAAGGCAAGUCCCUGGGAGGACUUUGUGUAAGAUUAGCCCUAGCCAGAAAGAUAGCCACACAAUCCCUUCAAAAAAAACCACACGAGGGUGAGAACGACUACAAUUGUUUGGCAGACACUCUUGAACGUAAAGUGGUUGUAAUUGAUGUGUGUACAACUGUGUAAGAGUUUUUCUACUUGUUGCAAUUGACCUCAAGUACCCAUUGCCUGUUCCUACCGAUAAGGCACACAUGGUGGCAGAUGCAGUAGGG